UGCAGUGUCAGUUGGAGCAGAGAGGAUCGAUGUGUGGCUUUAUGUUUUGGGAUUGCUGAGUUUUUUUUGAUUCUUUAUGUGCUUUGCUUUAGACUUGUUUCCCUUAGUUUUCUUUUAUUGCUAAACAUUUAAAGUGAAUCAGUGUUUUUGGAAAAGGAGUUACACAAGUAUUCAGGUCCAGUCUCACCUUCUCAGCAGCUUUUCAUUUGUUCCUGAAGUUGCUAAAAUUUGCCAACAAAAAUUCAUCUACAGAAGAAUCUCUACAUGGAGCAUGGCGUCAAGGAUGGAGAGGUUUAAAGUUAACAAAUAUGGAUCCAGACACGGAGCACCUCACAAGGAAGGCACACACCCUCAUCAAGAGCUGCUCUAUGGCCACAGAAUCUGGUCAGGAGAAGAGAUUUUCCAGGGCCUACUCCCCUGGGUUCAGGAGGUCUGUGAAGCUGCAAAAAUGACACUGGAAGACUUGGAUGACUUUCAUCAAUCUGAAUCUCUCUGAAUCUGAACAGGUGAAGACUUGUUUUCAGAACUGAAGGAGGAAGUUUAGGAAAACCAGCACAUGAUGUAGAGAAAUUUCAGCACUAUGGCUCGACAGGAGCAGGUCCUGCCUUACCUGAACACCUUUGUCAGUGAUGGAGCUUCCUGUUUGUAUCCAAACACUGUGGGUCAGUUAAAGAGGGUGGGGGAGUACAGAAAGGCCACCUCCUCCCUUGUGUUGGUGUAGCUGAAGUCGUAGACGUCCAAUAUUGCACAGUACUGUCGAUAUUUUCUCUUCUUGCCUUUGGUGCUGUUUAUCCAUCUAGAUUAUUUUGGUAUGGGCAACCCACUUUUGUAGUUUUCUCUGAGCUCUGUGUCUCUGAAAAGUAAUGUUUCCAUUCUAAAGAAAUCCAGACUGUGUUACAGAUCUACUGACCUUGUAGGAAUUCUUUUCUUUCCACUGAACUACAUCUGCUAACCAUAUCAGUGUCCUGGAGGAAGCACGUAAAGGCUUUGAACAAGAAGCUGGACUUCAUGACAGACUUCAUGCUUCUUUGUAGUUGGCAGGUGUGGACACUGCACCAGAUUUCUGAGUUUUAACAAAGUCAAUAUUUAUAGCAGAAAAGAUGCAGAUCUAGAUCAAUUUGCUUAAAAUAUUUAUUAAAAACCCUGGACUAACCUCCAGCCUUAAAACAUGUUUUAAGCAUAAAAAUAUUAACAGGUGUAAUUAAGACAUGUGUGCACAAAGUCUUUUAAAUACAGCUUCUGUCAUGUCAAGAAACACGAACAGAAUACUUAAAAUGGCCGUCAGAAAAAAUUCACAGCAAACCUGAUAUGCUGCCAGUGCCAGCUAGAUUUCAUGUUGGAAAAACAUAGAUGAUGUGGAAGUGCUUUAAAUUUGUCUGAAAACCACCAGCAUGUGGUUUCAAAAUCAGACCUCCACGCAUCCUAUUUCUGCCAUGUUGUUUUUGAGACCAGUAUGGCAAAAAUCCUCAUCCUGAGGCUUCAGAAUGAUAAUUCACAAAUAAAAGAGGGCUGUAACAGUAGCUACAGCCAUCUUUAUGCUGUCUAGGCUAAAACCUGAUGCUAUCAGCUCAAUCAUCAUUAUUAGCAUCAUUUAGAACAUCUGGUAACAAAGGAGCAUUAGCUGUUAGCAAGGCUCUCCACUUGCUCCUUCAAAACUUGUUUUGUGAAGCCCGGAGUUGUUUGCAUUCAUACCAGUGUUUAAAACAACAGGGUUGAAAUCAUCAUGUCUAUUGGCAUCGACCAGCCAAACAUCUAAGGCAAGUUGUGGAAGCUCCAUUGAGGUCCAGGCACAACGUUGCCCACAAAAUUCAUUCAGUUCAUGUUCUAGUAACCUUGAGAAACACUCACCUGUUUGUAGGUCAGUCCUGUCAACUCUGCCAACUCUGUCAUCUCCCGUGGGUCAGGGUAAUGUUUCUGAUUAAAGUGAUUGACAAGAGUUUUUAACUGGCUGAGAACAGCCCCCGGGUCCUUCCUUUGAGCACCUUGGCCUUUUCUUCCUUCUCACAUGUAGUGCUUGUGACAGUGUUGCUGCCACCCUGGUUUCUUGGGGCAGCAAAACCCUGUUCCUCCUGUGUGACAGAGCUGGAAACAGCUUCAGCAGUCUCAAAGAUGAUGUUGCUCGUCUCCUUUUCAAGAGCACUCUCCACCCAUGCAGUAUGCAGUGAGGUCUGCCAUGGGGAAACUCCCUUCAAGGCUGCUGCCAGAACUCCACAAGUCUAUAUGGUCCACAUGGCUCAGCUCAUCUGUUGCCAUGAGUCACUUUAGAAAGUCACUCCCCCUUCAUUGAUCCAUCAUUUAGAAAACUGAAAAAAGCACUUAGAAAGUCAUCAAGUAAAUGAGCUCUACUAAACGUUUCCAGCUUACUUUGCUAAAUGUUCAUCCCUGGAAUUCUGCAAUUUAUCACUUUCUUUUCUGAUGUCUCAAGAAAAAGUGUAAUCUCACAGAUAAUGACCUGUUUGUAGUAUUGGGUGGCAGGUUUUCCAUUUCUUUAUACCAGUGAUAUCAAACUGAGAGCUGCAAGAGGUCAUUUAUACAUUUGUAAUCAGCUGUGUAAGAUGGUAGACUGGUAUCACCUGCAUAUUAACUCACCUCCACAUUUACUGUGGGAAAUGGCCACUAAUGUGUGAGUGGGUUUGUUUCACAACUGCUGUGAGCCAGUGGCUGUGAUUGGGCUGGGUUCAUUGAAGGCAGGUGUAUUUGAUUGCACUUGAUUUCUGAAGUGUUGAAGCUUGUAUUGGCCAAAAGUAUGAAGAGCAGCUUGAAUCUACAACUUGAAAUGAACUGCUUCAUUAUCAUUGCCCAGUCACAGCUUCUGUUUAAUAUCAUGUGAUAAUUCUGUCUGAUAUCAGGCUAACGUUGUGGUGCUUUGAACCUGUAUUUUCUGUGUGACACAAUGUUAUGUCUGUUUCAUGAAUAAAUUUGAUGAAUAAACUUGUUUAAACAUGAGCCAUGGUGUGGUCUCCCUUCACUUGUGACUUCUUGACAUUUGUAAACAUAAUAGACCAAAAAAAUACAUUGUGUCAUACACUAUUAUAUAUAAUCCUAUUAUAGGGUUGGGAGUAUUCUACCGCCGUGAGGCCUCUUCCUUAUGUAUAUU
Molecule: long non-coding RNA, 3097 nt
Organism: Oreochromis niloticus (Nile tilapia)
Lineage: Eukaryota; Metazoa; Chordata; Actinopteri; Cichliformes; Cichlidae
Source: Ensembl